Molecule: ribosomal RNA, 2326 nt
Filed under: Campylobacter jejuni
Lineage: Bacteria; Pseudomonadati; Campylobacterota; Epsilonproteobacteria; Campylobacterales; Campylobacteraceae
Description: partial 23S ribosomal RNA
Rfam family: Bacterial large subunit ribosomal RNA
Source: RNAcentral
GGACUGCCUUUUGCAUAAUGAGCCUGCGAGUUGUGGUGUCUGGCAAGGUUAAGCAAACGCGAAGCCGUAGCGAAAGCGAGUCUGAAUAGGGCGCUUAGUCAGAUGCUGCAGACCCGAAACGAAGUGAUCUAUCCAUGAGCAAGUUGAAGCUAGUGUAAGAACUAGUGGAGGACUGAACCCAUAGGCGUUGAAAAGCCCCGGGAUGACUUGUGGAUAGGGGUGAAAGGCCAAUCAAACUUCGUGAUAGCUGGUUCUCUCCGAAAUAUAUUUAGGUAUAGCGUUGUGUCGUAAUAUAAGGGGGUAGAGCACUGAAUGGGCUAGGGCAUACACCAAUGUACCAAACCCUAUCAAACUCCGAAUACCUUAUAUGUAAUCACAGCAGUCAGGCGGCGAGUGAUAAAAUCCGUCGUCAAGAGGGAAACAACCCAGACUACCAGCUAAGGUCCCUAAAUCUUACUUAAGUGGAAAACGAUGUGAAGUUACUUAAACAACCAGGAGGUUGGCUUAGAAGCAGCCAUCCUUUAAAGAAAGCGUAAUAGCUCACUGGUCUAGUGAUUUUGCGCGGAAAAUAUAACGGGGCUAAAGUAAGUACCGAAGCUGUAGACUUAGUUUACUAAGUGGUAGGAGAGCGUUCUAUUUGCGUCGAAGGUAUACCGGUAAGGAGUGCUGGAGCGAAUAGAAGUGAGCAUGCAGGCAUGAGUAGCGAUAAUUAAUGUGAGAAUCAUUAACGCCGUAAACCCAAGGUUUCCUACGCGAUGCUCGUCAUCGUAGGGUUAGUCGGGUCCUAAGUCGAGUCCGAAAGGGGUAGACGAUGGCAAAUUGGUUAAUAUUCCAAUACCAACAUUAGUGUGCGAUGGAAGGACGCUUAGGGCUAAGGGGGCUAGCGGAUGGAAGUGCUAGUCUAAGGUCGUAGGAGGUUAUACAGGCAAAUCCGUAUAACAAUACUCCGAGAACUGAAAGGCUUUUUGAAGUCUUCGGAUGGAUAGAAGAACCCCUGAUGCCGUCGAGCCAAGAAAAGUUUCUAAGUUUAGCUAAUGUUGCCCGUACCGUAAACCGACACAGGUGGGUGGGAUGAGUAUUCUAAGGCGCGUGGAAGAACUCUCUUUAAGGAACUCUGCAAAAUAGCACCGUAUCUUCGGUAUAAGGUGUGGUUAGCUUUGUAUUAGGAUUUACUCCGAAAGCAAGGAAACUUACAACAAAGAGUCCCUCCCGACUGUUUACCAAAAACACAGCACUCUGCUAACUCGUAAGAGGAUGUAUAGGGUGUGACGCCUGCCCGGUGCUCGAAGGUUAAUUGAUGGGGUUAGCAUUAGCGAAGCUCUUGAUCGAAGCCCGAGUAAACGGCGGCCGUAACUAUAACGGUCCUAAGGUAGCGAAAUUCCUUGUCGGUUAAAUACCGACCUGCAUGAAUGGCGUAACGAGAUGGGAGCUGUCUCAAAGAGGGAUCCAGUGAAAUUGUAGUGGAGGUGAAAAUUCCUCCUACCCGCGGCAAGACGGAAAGACCCCGUGGACCUUUACUACAGCUUGACACUGCUACUUGGAUAAGAAUGUGCAGGAUAGGUGGGAGGCUUUGAGUAUAUGACGCCAGUUGUAUAUGAGCCAUUGUUGAGAUACCACUCUUUCUUAUUUGGGUAGCUAACCAGCUUGAGUUAUCCUCAAGUGGGACAAUGUCUGGUGGGUAGUUUGACUGGGGCGGUCGCCUCCCAAAUAAUAACGGAGGCUUACAAAGGUUGGCUCAGAACGGUUGGAAAUCGUUCGUAGAGUAUAAAGGUAUAAGCCAGCUUAACUGCAAGACAUACAAGUCAAGCAGAGACGAAAGUCGGUCUUAGUGAUCCGGUGGUUCUGUGUGGAAGGGCCAUCGCUCAAAGGAUAAAAGGUACCCCGGGGAUAACAGGCUGAUCUCCCCCAAGAGCUCACAUCGACGGGGAGGUUUGGCACCUCGAUGUCGGCUCAUCGCAUCCUGGGGCUGGAGCAGGUCCCAAGGGUAUGGCUGUUCGCCAUUUAAAGCGGUACGCGAGCUGGGUUCAGAACGUCGUGAGACAGUUCGGUCCCUAUCUGCCGUGGGCGUAAGAAGAUUGAAGAGAUUUGACCCUAGUACGAGAGGACCGGGUUGAACAAACCACUGGUGUAGCUGUUGUUCUGCCAAGAGCAUCGCAGCGUAGCUAAGUUUGGAAAGGAUAAACGCUGAAAGCAUCUAAGCGUGAAGCCAACUCUAAGAUGAAUCUUCUCUAAGCUCUCUAGAAGACUACUAGUUUGAUAGGCUGGGUGUGUAAUGGAUGAAAGUCCUUUAGCUGACCAGUACUAAUAGAGCGUUUGGCUUAUCUUU